Vigna radiata var. radiata (mung bean) is the source of this 1137-nucleotide long non-coding RNA. RefSeq lists it as uncharacterized. NCBI's taxonomy places the organism in Eukaryota, Viridiplantae, Streptophyta, Magnoliopsida, Fabales, Fabaceae. The transcript is spliced from 2 exons. The record is from RefSeq and is a predicted model, not a curated record.
AUCAAAAGAAUGGAAAGGUGUGAGUAAUUAUGAAGGUGUAAAGAAUGAAGAAGGUGCAUAAAAGACUGGUCCAGGCCUAGACGUUCAUGCUUCUCCUCUAUAAUAAGGUACAGAGAUUAAAUUGGAGGGUGUACGAAGUAACCCAGUCCAUUUUUACCUUGAGACCUUAAGGCUCUUCUUCACACACAACUACCACACCGUCUCCCUAAUGCAACGGCGCCGCCUCCGUUCUCGCCGGAUUCCGUUUCUGGCGACGACGCCGGCGUCACCAGUGGCGCUCCCCCUUCAUCCUUCUUCUCACGUAAACCAUCUUUGGUCAUUCUGUCGUUCACCGCCGCCGCUCAAAUCUCGCCAACUCGAACCCACGUCGUUGACGGCGGUAGUGCUUAUGACCUCGCCGGCACCGCUGUCAGCUCCCUCCCUUUCUUCCUUCUAUUUUUCCAUCUGGUGAGAGAGGUUUUGCUCUCCCUUCUUCAUUCUUCCCAAAUCUGGUUCCCGAUGGAGGACCUAGCGAAGCUCUACUGUAUCACCACCAUCCUCUACCGGUCAGAGUAGUCGUAGGUCUUGCUAUUUCGGUUGGAGGUGUCGCCGUCCGACAGAAGCUCGUCACCGUCCGGCGUCCAUUGUCUAUCAAGAGCUGAUGUGUGGUGUGAUGUAAAAUAGAGGUGAAUGGAAGAUUGUUUGUAUGGUGAUUUGAGAUAAAAGGUGAAUAAGAAUGUGAUAAUUUUUGUGUUGGGUCUGUUAUUGGAGUGCAGAGAAUAUGAAAAUGGUGACAGAGAAGAUGAAGAUUAGAAUGGUAUUGUAGGGGCUGGAUGACGUCUUCGUCUGUUGAUUUCUGUUUUCAGUCACCUUAGUCUAUGUUUUAUGUUCAUGUUACAACAAUUGUGGGUGGUUGUGACACGAGGGAAAUAAUAAUAAUUUAGUAUUUACCUAAUGCAUUAUUAUUAUUAUUAUUAUUAUUAUUAUUAUUAUUAUUAUUAUUAUUAUUAUUAUUAUUAUUAUUAUUAUUAUUAUUUUAGAGAGAAAGAGAAAUAGGUUAGGUACAGAUUGAGAAAUAGAGAAGGUCCGUUACUACAUUCUUUGAGAUUGUGAGCUAUAUUAAAUGGAUGGAUAAUGAUAUUUAACAGUAUUUUAACA